This 253-nucleotide ribosomal RNA is filed under the name uncultured bacterium. RNAcentral's name for it is "partial 16S ribosomal RNA". It matches the Rfam family "Bacterial small subunit ribosomal RNA", at positions 524 to 776 of the family's 1533-position model. The record is from RNAcentral.
UACGUAGGGGGCAAGCGUUGUCCGGAUUUAUUGGGCGUAAAGAGCGUGUAGGCGGUUUGGUAGGUCCGCUGUGAAAACUCGAGGCUCAACCUCGAGACGCCGGUGGAAACCAUCAGGCUAGAGUCCGGAAGAGGAGAGUGGAAUUCCUGGUGUAGCGGUGAAAUGCGCAGAUAUCAGGAAGAACACCCGUGGCUAAGGCGGUUCUCUAGUACGGCACUGACGCUGAGACGCGAAAGCGUGGGGAGCGAACAGG